AUUAAGCGGAGGAAAAGAAACUAACUAGGAUUCCCUCAGUAAGGGCGACUGAAGCGGGAAGAGCUCACCGUGUGAAUCUGUACAGGCUUGUCCUGUGCCGAGUUGUGGUCUGUAGAAACAUUGUCGGUCAGCGUUCCGGGCCAAGUCCCUUGGAAAAGGGCAGCUGAGAGGGUGAGACUCCCGUUCUUGCCUGGAAUGUGUGAUCAUGGCACAAGUUUUCAACGAGUCGAGUUGCUUGGGAUUGCAGCUCAAAGUGGGUGGUAAAUUCCAUCUAAAGCUAAAUAUUGGUGGGAGACCGAUAGCGUACAAGUACCGUGAGGGAAAGAUGCAAAGAACUUUGAAAAGAGAGUUAAAGAGUACCUGAAAUUGCUGAAAGGGAAGCGAAGGAAACCAGUGCUUAUUCUAUGCCAUUCUUCUUCUGUUGCUUGCGACAGAAGCGCUGUGGUUUAGUAUGGGCCAGCAUGGGUUUGACUCGGAGGAAAUGGCUUUGUGGGAGGUAGGUUCUUUUCGAACUGAAGACCACUUUGUUCUACUCUGGGUUGGAUCGAGGAUAGUCACUUGUGCUCGUGAUGCUGGCGAAAUGGUUUUCUUUACCCCGUCUUGAAACACGGACCAAGGAGUCUAACAUAUGUGCGAGUAUAGGGGUGGCAAACCCCCAUGCGAAAUGAAAGUAACAGUGGUUGGACCUUCUGGGGCACAAUCCGCCGGCCACAAUCCUUCGGGAGAAAGGUCUGAGUGUGAGCAUACAUGUUGGGACCCGAAAGGUGGUGAACUAUGCCUGAAUAGGGUGAAGCCAGGGGAAACUCUGGUGGAGGCUCGUAACGAUUCUGAC
RNAcentral lists this ribosomal RNA (832 nucleotides) under Chaetoceros contortus. RNAcentral describes it as "partial large subunit ribosomal RNA". It matches the Rfam family "Eukaryotic large subunit ribosomal RNA", at positions 45 to 890 of the family's 3401-position model. Lineage: Eukaryota; Bacillariophyta; Thalassiosirophyceae; Chaetocerotales; Chaetocerotaceae. The record is from RNAcentral.